AAAUAGGAGUGCCAUAAUGCAUUAUUGCACUAGUGGACUUUGCUGUCAUCCAACUACUAGUACAAGAACAAGUGAACAUGGACACUGACCGUAUUUUAGAGCAUGGCCUGAUAUGGACUUUUGGGGGCUGCAGGUUGAGGUCAUCGUGGUGAUUGGCCACAGCCGCUGCGGUGGAAUCAAGGCUCUCCUCUCACUCAAGGAUGGCGCAGACGACUCCUUGUAAGUACUACCAGAGUAUCACGGCUCAGAUCCUAUUCCCGCUAACUCUACCGUCUCUCCGAUCAGUUUCUGACUGUCUAUUUGGUUGGUCUUGGUCAGCCACUUCGUCGAGGACUGGGUCAGGAUCGGCUUCCCGGCCAAGAAGAAGGUGCAGACUGAGUGCGCCUCAAUGCCUUUCGAUGACCAGUGCACCGUCCUCGAAAAGGUUCGCACCAUUGCCCAUCUGCCAUCUCAUACUUUGCUCAUACACUAUAUUAUGUACUCCUGUUAGCAAUACUGCACACUCCACAAUUCUGCAUGUGGUUUGUCUAACUCAUUGGUACGCUGACCAAGAGAUAUUUCUGAAUUGUUUCCUUUCCACAGGAGGCCGUGAACGUGUCCCUCCAGAACCUCUUGACCUACCCGUUCGUCAAGGAGGGUGUGUCCAACGGAACCCUCAAGCUCGUUGGCGGCCACUACGACUUCGUCUCCGGCAAGUUCGAGACAUGGGAGCAGUAA
Molecule: long non-coding RNA, 717 nt
Filed under: Triticum aestivum (bread wheat)
Lineage: Eukaryota; Viridiplantae; Streptophyta; Magnoliopsida; Poales; Poaceae
Description: long non-coding RNA (TAES_LNC027418)
Source: RNAcentral